CGGCGGACAGGAGUGAACAAGAAGUUGUUCGUCGGAAGAAUGGAGUGAUCGUCGGCGAACUGGAGGGAUCGUCGGCGGACUGGAGGGAUCGUCGCCGGACUUGAGGGAUCGUCGCCGGACAGGAAGAAUCGCCUAAAGGAUUUGGAGAGUUUUAACUUCAAGAACGAUUUGGGGAAAUCGAUUUGGGGUUUUGGGUGUUUGAUUUGGGGAAAGUCGAUUUGGGGAAAUCGAUUUGGG
RNAcentral lists this long non-coding RNA (237 nucleotides) under Zostera marina. RNAcentral's name for it is "long non-coding RNA (ZMAR_LNC002280)". The record is from RNAcentral. Lineage: Eukaryota; Viridiplantae; Streptophyta; Magnoliopsida; Alismatales; Zosteraceae.